AUACGUAGGGGGCGAGCGUUGUCCGGAAUGAUUGGGCGUAAAGGGCGCGUAGGCGGCGCGGUAAGUCUGGAGUGAAAGUCCUGCUUUCAAGGUGGGAAUUGCUUUGGAUACUGCCGCGCUUGAGUGCAGGAGAGGUUAUCGGAAUUCCCGGUGUAGCGGCGAAAUGCAUAGAUAUGACGAAGAACACCGAUUGCGUAGGCAGCUGACCAGACCGCAAAUGACGCUCAUGCACGAAAGUGCGGGGAUCGAACAGGAUUAGAUACCCUGGUAGUCCGCACAGUAAACGAUGAAUACUUGUUUUCGGCGAUAUAAUGUCGGAGGCAAAGCGAAAGCGAUAAGUAUUCCACCUGGGGAGUACGCCGGCAACGGUGAAACUCAAAGGAAUUGACGGGG
This 393-nucleotide ribosomal RNA is filed under the name uncultured bacterium. Its description in RNAcentral is "partial 16S ribosomal RNA". It matches the Rfam family "Bacterial small subunit ribosomal RNA", at positions 523 to 918 of the family's 1533-position model. The record is from RNAcentral.